AGAGUUUGAUCCUGGCUCAGGAUAAACGCUGGCGGCGUGCCUAAUACAUGCAAGUCGAACGAGAAACUUCUGGUACUUGUAUCGGUUGUUUUCUAGUGGCGAACGGGUGAGUAACGCGUUGGUGACCUACCCCAAAGUGGGGGAUAACAGAUCGAAAGAUCUGCUAAUACCCCAUGUUGUCAUCGUUUUUAGAAAUCGAUGAUUAAAGGAGCAAUUCGCUUUGGGAGGGGCCUGCGUCCCAUCAGCUAGUUGGUAAGGUAAUGGCUUACCAAGGCUACGACGGGUAAGGGACCUGAGAGGGUGGCCCCUCACAAUGGAACUGAAACACGGUCCAUACACCUACGGGUGGCAGCAGUAGGGAAUAUUGCACAAUGGACGAAAGUCUGAUGCAGCAACGCCGCGUGUACGAUGAAGGUCUUCGGAUUGUAAAGUACUUUUCAGGGAGAUGAGAAAGGACAGUACCCCUGGAAUAAGUCUCGGCUAACUACGUGCCAGCAGCCGCGGUAACACGUAGGAGGCGAGCGUUAUCCGGAUUUACUGGGUGUAAAGCGCGUGCAGGCGGUUUGAUAAGUUGGAUGUGAAAGCUCCUGGCUUAACUGGGAGAGGUCGUUCAAAACUAUCAGACUAGAGAAUGGUAGAGGAAGAUGGAAUUCCCGGUGUAGUGGUGAAAUGCGUAGAUAUCGGGAGGAACACCAGUGGCGAAGGCGGUCUUCUGGCCCAUUUCUGACGCUAAGACGCGAAGGCUAGGGUAGCAAACGGGAUUAGAGACCCCGGUAGUCCUAGCAGUAAACGAUGUGAACUUGGCGUUGGUGGUGUAAAAACCAUCAGUGCCGUAGCUAACGCGAUAAGUUCACCACCUGGGAACUACGGCCGCAAGGUUAAAACUCAAAGGAAUUGACGGGUCCCCGCACAAGCAGCGGAGCGUGUGGCUUAAUUCGAUAUUACACGAAGAACCUUACCCGGGUUUGACAUGCAAGUGUAGUGAAGCGAAAGCGGAACGACCCUUCGGGGAGCUUGCACAGGUGCUGCAUGGCUGUCGUCAGCUCGUGUCGUGAGAUGUCCGGUUAAGUCCGGUAACGAGCGCAACCCUCGCUGUAUGUUAUAAGUGUCAUACGGGACCGCCGGUAUCAAGCCGGAGGAAGGUGGGGAUGACGUCAAGUCAGCAUGGCCUUUAUAUCCGGGGCUACACACACGCUACAAUGGCCGGUACAAUAGGUUGCGAAACCGCGAGGUGGAGCCAAUCCUUCAAAGCCGGUCUCAGUUCAGAUCGCAGGCUGCAACUCGCCUGCGUGAAGUCG
Molecule: ribosomal RNA, 1298 nt
Filed under: metagenome
Description: bacterial SSU rRNA
Rfam family: Bacterial small subunit ribosomal RNA
Source: RNAcentral